UCGAGCGAGUCUGCCUUGAAGAUCGGAGUGCUUGCACUCUGUGAAACAAGAUACAGGCUAGCGGCGGACGGGUGAGUAACACGUGGGUAACCUGCCCAAGAGAUCGGGAUAACACCUGGAAACAGAUGCUAAUACCGGAUACAACAGAUGAUGCCUAUCAACUGUUUAAAAGAUGGUUCUGCUAUCACUCUUGGAUGGACCUGCGGUGCAUUAGCUAGUUGGUAGGGUAACGGCCUACCAAGGCGAUGAUGCAUAGCCGAGUUGAGAGACUGAUCGGCCACAUUGGGACUGAGACACGGCCCAAACUCCUACGGGAGGCAGCAGUAGGGAAUCUUCCACAAUGGACGCAAGUCUGAUGGAGCAACGCCGCGUGAGUGAAGAAGGGUUUCGGCUCGUAAAGCUCUGUUGUUGGUGAAGAAGGACAGGGGUAGUAACUGACCUUUGUUUGACGGUAAUCAAUUAGAAAGUCACGGCUAACUACGUGCCAGCAGCCGCGGUAAUACGUAGGUGGCAAGCGUUGUCCGGAUUUAUUGGGCGUAAAGCGAGUGCAGGCGGCUCGAUAAGUCUGAUGUGAAAGCCUUCGGCUCAACCGGAGAAUUGCAUCAGAAACUGUCGAGCUUGAGUACAGAAGAGGAGAGUGGAACUCCAUGUGUAGCGGUGAAAUGCGUAGAUAUAUGGAAGAACACCGGUGGCGAAGGCGGCUCUCUGGUCUGUUACUGACGCUGAGGCUCGAAAGCAUGGGUAGCGAACAGGAUUAGAUACCCUGGUAGUCCAUGCCGUAAACGAUGAGUGCUAAGUGUUGGGAGGUUUCCGCCUCUCAGUGCUGCAGCUAACGCAU
RNAcentral lists this ribosomal RNA (838 nucleotides) under uncultured bacterium. RNAcentral's name for it is "bacterial SSU rRNA". It matches the Rfam family "Bacterial small subunit ribosomal RNA", at positions 62 to 860 of the family's 1533-position model. The record is from RNAcentral.